Molecule: ribosomal RNA, 252 nt
Filed under: uncultured bacterium
Lineage: Bacteria
Description: partial 16S ribosomal RNA
Rfam family: Bacterial small subunit ribosomal RNA
Source: RNAcentral
UACGAAGGGGGCUAGCGUUGCUCGGAAUCACUGGGCGUAAAGGGUGCGUAGGCGGGUCUUUAAGUCAGGGGUGAAAUCCUGGAGCUCAACUCCAGAACUGCCUUUGAUACUGAAGAUCUUGAGUGCGGGAGAGGUGAGUGGAACUGCGAGUGUAGAGGUGAAAUUCGUAGAUAUUCGCAAGAACACCAGUGGCGAAGGCGGCUCACUGGCCCGAUACUGACGCUGAGGCACGAAAGCGUGGGGAGCAACAGG